This 331-nucleotide ribosomal RNA is filed under the name uncultured bacterium. Its description in RNAcentral is "partial 16S ribosomal RNA". It matches the Rfam family "Bacterial small subunit ribosomal RNA", at positions 338 to 686 of the family's 1533-position model. The record is from RNAcentral.
CCUACGGGAGGCAGCAGUAGGGAAUAUUGCUCAAUGGGGGAAACCCUGAAGCAGCAACGCCGCGUGGCAGAUGAAGGUUUUAGGAUUGUAAAAUCCUUUUGUGAGAGAAGAUAAUGACGGUAUCUCACGACUAAGCACAGGCUAACUCCAUGCCAGCAGCCGAGGUAAUACGGAGGGUUCAAGCGUUACUCGGAAUUACUGGUCGUAAAGAGUGAGCAGGCGGGUUUUUAAGUAAGAUGUGAAAUCCUGUAGCGUAACUAACGAACUGCAUUUGAAACUAUGAGUAGUGAGUGUGGGAGAGGUAGGUGGAAGUCUUGGUGUAGCGGUAAAA